UACGGGGGGGGCAAGCGUUGUUCGGAAUUACUGGGCGUAAAGGGCCAGUAGGCGGCCAACUAAGUCGGACGUGAAAUCCCCGGGCUCAACCCGGGAACUGCGUCCGAUACUGGAUGGCUUGAAUCCGGGAGAGGGAUGUGGAAUUCCAGGUGUAGCGGUGAAAUGCGUAGAUAUCUGGAGGAACACCGGUGGCGAAGGCGGCAUCCUGGACCGGUAUUGACGCUGAGGCGCGAAAGCCAGGGGAGCAAACGGG
This 253-nucleotide ribosomal RNA is filed under the name uncultured bacterium. RNAcentral's name for it is "partial 16S ribosomal RNA". It matches the Rfam family "Bacterial small subunit ribosomal RNA", at positions 524 to 776 of the family's 1533-position model. The record is from RNAcentral.